UACAGAGGGGGCAAGCGUUGUUCGGAAUUACUGGGCGUAAAGGGCGCGUAGGCGGCCGCCUAAGUCAGACGUGAAAUCCCUCGGCUCAACCGGGGAACUGCGUCUGAUACUGGGUGGCUUGAAUCCGGGAGAGGGAUGCGGAAUUCCAGGUGUAGCGGUGAAAUGCGUAGAUAUCAAGCGGAACACCGGUGGCGAAGGCGGCCUUCUGGACAGUGACUGACGCUGAGACGCGAAAGCGUGGGGAGCAAACAGG
RNAcentral lists this ribosomal RNA (253 nucleotides) under uncultured bacterium. RNAcentral's name for it is "partial 16S ribosomal RNA". It matches the Rfam family "Bacterial small subunit ribosomal RNA", at positions 524 to 776 of the family's 1533-position model. The record is from RNAcentral.